Molecule: ribosomal RNA, 411 nt
Filed under: uncultured bacterium
Lineage: Bacteria
Description: bacterial SSU rRNA
Rfam family: Bacterial small subunit ribosomal RNA
Source: RNAcentral
UCGAGGAUCUUCCGCAAUGGGCGCAAGCCUGACGGAGCGACGCCGCGUGAGCGAUGAAGGCCUUCGGGUUGUAAAGCUCUUUUAUGAGGGAGGAAACCGCAAGGUUGACUGUACCUCAUGAAUAAGCACGGGCUAAGUUCGUGCCAGCAGCCGCGGUAAGACGAACCGUGCGAACGUUGUUCGGAAUCACUGGGCUUAAAGGGCGCGUAGGCGGGCGAGCAAGUCCGGGGUGAAAUCUUUCGGCUUAACCGGAAAAGUGCCUUGGAUACUGCUCGUCUCGAUGGAGGUAGGGGCCUGUGGAACUUCCGGUGGAGCGGUGAAAUGCGUUGAUAUCGGAAGGAACGCCGGUGGCGAAAGCGACGGGCUGGAUCUCUACUGACGCUGAGGCGCGAAAGCCAGGGGAGCAAACGG